This 405-nucleotide ribosomal RNA is filed under the name uncultured bacterium. RNAcentral's name for it is "partial 16S ribosomal RNA". It matches the Rfam family "Bacterial small subunit ribosomal RNA", at positions 28 to 526 of the family's 1533-position model. The record is from RNAcentral.
GAUGAACGCUGGCGGCGUGCCUAAUACAUGCAAGUCGAGCGAAGCGGGGACGGGUGAGUAACACGUGGAUAACAUUCUAUAAGACUGGGAUAACAUCGGGGAACCGGAGCUAAACCGGAUAUUUAAAGAAGGAUCCGGGUUUCAUGAGCUAGUGGGUAAGGUAACGGCUAAACAAGGCAACGAUGCAUAGCCGACCUGAGAGGGUGAUCGCCCACACUGGAACUGAUACACGGUCCAGCCUCCUCCGGAAGGCAGCAGUAGGGAAUCUUCCGCAAUGGGCGAAAGCCUGACGGGGCAACGCCGCGUGAGUGAUGAAGGUCUUCGGAUCGUAAAACUCUGUUAUUAGGGAAGCGGUACCUAAUCAGAAAGCCACGGCUAACUACGUGCCAGCAGCCGCGGUAAUAC